RNAcentral lists this ribosomal RNA (620 nucleotides) under Mycena epipterygia. RNAcentral describes it as "eukaryotic LSU rRNA". The stretch from base 234 to 387 matches the Rfam family "5.8S ribosomal RNA". Lineage: Eukaryota; Fungi; Basidiomycota; Agaricomycetes; Agaricales; Mycenaceae. The record is from RNAcentral.
GCGGAAGGAUCAUUAUUGAAUACGUUGGYACUGUUGCUGGCUCUUCACUGAGCAUGUGCACGUCCAUCUAUUUAUCUUCUCUUGUGCACCUUUUGUAGUCUUUUGAAGAAGAGUGGGUGKUCUCCUCAGGGAGAACGCUUCGCCCUUUUUUCRGAGGCUAUGUUUUCAUAUACACUAUAAAGUUACAGAAUGUCUUUUAAAGAUUGUGCUAGCCGCAGUCAUUAAACCUAUACAACUUUCAGCAACGGAUCUCUUGGCUCUCCCAUCGAUGAAGAACGCAGCGAAAUGCGAUAAGUAAUGUGAAUUGCAGAAUUCAGUGAAUCAUCGAAUCUUUGAACGCACCUUGCGCCCUUUGGUAUUCCGAAGGGCAUGCCUGUUUGAGUGUCAUUAAAUUAUCAACCUUCUUGCUUUGCUUGCAAAGCAUCUAGGCUUGGAUGUGGGGGUUUUUUGCUGGCUUCCUUCGGUGGAUGGUCUGCUCCCCUUAAAUGCAUUAGCGGGAUCUCUUGUGGACCGUCACUUGGUGUGAUAAUUAUCUAUACCACUUGGCCUUGAAGCAAAUCUUAUGAGGACCCGCUCAUAACCGUCCCUUCUGGGACAACUCUUGACAUUUUGACCUCAAA